UCACGCUGAAAACAUUGGUUCCCGUCUGAUCACCAAAGUUAAGCAACGUUGAGCAUGGUCAGUACUUAGAUUGCUGACCGUUUGAUAAUACCGGGUGAUGUCU
Molecule: non-coding RNA, 103 nt
Organism: Acanthosepion pharaonis
Lineage: Eukaryota; Metazoa; Mollusca; Cephalopoda; Sepiida; Sepiidae
Source: the annotation of a GenBank genome assembly